GUCGACGAACUUCUUUAUCACCGAGUGCUUGCACUCACCGAUAAAGAGUUGAGUGGCGAACGGGUGAGUAACACGUGGGCAACCUGCCCAAAAGAGGGGGAUAACACUUGGUAACAGGUGCUAAUACCGCAUAACCAUAGUUACCGCAUGGUAACUAUGUAAAAGGUGGCUAUGCUACCGCUUUUGGAUGGGCCCGCGACGCAUUAGCUAGUUGGUGGGGUAAAGGCUUACCAAGGCAAUGAUGCGUAGCCGAACUGAGAGGUUGAUCGGCCACAUUGGGACUGAGACACGGCCCAAACUCCUACGGGAGGCAGCAGUAGGGAAUCUUCCACAAUGGGCGAAAGCCUGAUGGAGCAACGCCGCGUGGGUGAAGAAGGUCUUCGGAUCGUAAAACCCUGUUGUUAGAGAAGAAAGUGCGUGAGAGUAACUGUUCACGUUUCGACGGUAUCUAACCAGAAAGCCACGGCUAACUACGUGCCAGCAGCCGCGGUAAUACGUAGGUGGCAAGCGUUAUCCGGAUUUAUUGGGCGUAAAGAGAACGCAGGCGGUCUUUUAAGUCUGAUGUGAAAGCCUUCGGCUUAACCGGAGUAGUGCAUUGGAAACUGGGAGACUUGAGUGCAGAAGAGGAGAGUGGAACUCCAUGUGUAGCGGUGAAAUGCGUAGAUAUAUGGAAGAACACCAGUGGCGAAAGCGGCUCUCUGGUCUGUAACUGACGCUGAGGUUCGAAAGCGUGGGU
RNAcentral lists this ribosomal RNA (736 nucleotides) under uncultured bacterium. Its description in RNAcentral is "bacterial SSU rRNA". It matches the Rfam family "Bacterial small subunit ribosomal RNA", at positions 61 to 766 of the family's 1533-position model. The record is from RNAcentral.